CGAUGCACAAAGGAAUCAAAGCUCAGAACGAGGGCUGAGAGCUUGAAAGACUUCACAAAUGCCACGUGACCAACACAUGUUGACAAUGACACACAAUGCCACAUUCUCAAGGCCACAGAGUCACACAAUCAUUCCUGUGGCUUUCCAUGUGGAGAAUUACAAGGGCCUGACGCAGCUCAAUCUCCAGGCUAAAGGCCCUCUCAAGACACUGGCUUAAAAAGAGACAAGAGGUCCGGAACAAUCACAGGACCAAGAGAGGAAAGUGGCUACGAGGUCAGGGCGAUGAUCCGCAGCUGGGGCAAGGACGGCGGUGUCAACCAUGAUGAGGCUGACAGCAGGUGCUGCUGGAAAAAGAAAGACAGAAAAAUUUGAAAUGAUUGUUUAGAAUUAUUUUUCAGGCAUAAAGCUUCUUUUUAAGCGAUUUUGAAUUUAAAAAAAAUAGUCCCUCUUUGUGUUCGUUUUUUUUUUCCUAUUUGAAACUGAAACAAACCAAAAUAAUAAUAAUAAAAACCUGUACAGGAGGUUGUGUUUUGCAGUUGGAACUGAGUCGGAGUCCUAAAUUAGAAUGAUGAUCUCUGUAGCAGCCGUUCACGCAUCAUUCAUCAUUCACUCAUUCAUAAUCACGGUCUGGAGGGGGCAUCUGGAACAGCACUCUUAAGCAACAUUUGGAUCAGUUCCGUUUUGGUAAACUCCGUUUGUAACUUUGC
RNAcentral lists this long non-coding RNA (707 nucleotides) under Takifugu rubripes (torafugu). RNAcentral describes it as "lncRNA (ENSTRUG00000026817.1)". The record is from RNAcentral. Lineage: Eukaryota; Metazoa; Chordata; Actinopteri; Tetraodontiformes; Tetraodontidae.